AUCCAGUUGAUGUGUCCCAAAUAGGACGAAAUGCGCUUUGUCCUGGAU
Molecule: non-coding RNA, 48 nt
Filed under: Schistosoma margrebowiei
Lineage: Eukaryota; Metazoa; Platyhelminthes; Trematoda; Strigeidida; Schistosomatidae
Source: RNAcentral